This 114-nucleotide transfer RNA is filed under the name Candidatus Woesearchaeota archaeon. RNAcentral's name for it is "tRNA-Glu". The record is from RNAcentral. Lineage: Archaea; Nanobdellati; Candidatus Woesearchaeota.
GCUCCCGUGGUGUAGUCCGGCCAAUCAUUCGGCCUUUUCGAGGCCGAGACCUGGGUUCGAACGCCGUUAAAUUUGCGUUAGCAAAUUUUUGGUUUGAAAGUCCCGGCGGGAGCA